UGGAAACAUGACCUGAGCCGAAGGCAGAGGCUUUCACCCACUGAACCACCCAAGCGCCCCUGAAAUAUGUGUUUUAAGAUUCCGGGUUGAUUUGGUGCCUGCCCCCUGUAAUUAUGGCUCCAAAU
This 125-nucleotide long non-coding RNA is filed under the name Mustela putorius furo (domestic ferret). RNAcentral's name for it is "lncRNA (ENSMPUG00000027999.1)". Lineage: Eukaryota; Metazoa; Chordata; Mammalia; Carnivora; Mustelidae. The record is from RNAcentral.